GAACGGGGUAAGAACUAACCGGAUUCCCUUAGUAACUGCGAGUGAAGGGGGAUCAGCCCAGCACCGAAGCCUGUGGCCGUUUGGCUGCUAGGCAAUGUGGUGUUUAGGUCGUCUCUUGGCAUAACUGCUCCAUCCUAAGUCCAGUACUGAGUAUGGCAUUGGAGUGGCCCAUGGAGGGUGAAAGGCCCGUGGGGGUGGAGAUCAAGUCGGCCAGUUUUGCCCUGAGUAGACCUUGGAGUCGGGUUGUUUGUGAAUGCAGCCCAAAGUGGGUGGUAAACUCCAUCCAAGGCUAAAUACUAGCACGAGUCCGAUAGCGAACAAGUACCGUGAGGGAAAGUUGAAAAGUACUCUGAAAGAGAGACAAACGUUUUAUUA
Molecule: ribosomal RNA, 375 nt
Filed under: Tetracotyle glossogobii
Lineage: Eukaryota; Metazoa; Platyhelminthes; Trematoda; Diplostomida; Diplostomidae
Description: eukaryotic LSU rRNA
Rfam family: Eukaryotic large subunit ribosomal RNA
Source: RNAcentral